UUGUGCGUGUGACAGCGGCUA
Molecule: microRNA, 21 nt
Filed under: Tribolium castaneum (red flour beetle)
Lineage: Eukaryota; Metazoa; Arthropoda; Insecta; Coleoptera; Tenebrionidae
Also listed under: 14 other names
Description: tca-miR-210-3p
Gene: tca-miR-210-3p
Source: miRBase by way of RNAcentral